Molecule: small nuclear RNA, 159 nt
Filed under: Leersia perrieri
Lineage: Eukaryota; Viridiplantae; Streptophyta; Magnoliopsida; Poales; Poaceae
Description: U1 spliceosomal RNA
Rfam family: U1 spliceosomal RNA
About the family: U1 is a small nuclear RNA (snRNA) component of the spliceosome (involved in pre-mRNA splicing). Its 5' end forms complementary base pairs with the 5' splice junction, thus defining the 5' donor site of an intron.
Source: Rfam by way of RNAcentral
AAACUUACCUGGACGGGGUCUAUGGACGAUCAAGGUCUAUGGCCUAGGCUAAUGGCCUUCAUUGCACUAGGGAGGAGCAUUGGCUUACCAUCUCUCCAAGUGUGGGAGAGUGGACGUCAUAAUUUGUGGCAGAGGGGGUAGGUGUUCGUGCGGCCCCUA